Molecule: RNA transcript, 2483 nt
Organism: Numida meleagris (helmeted guineafowl)
Lineage: Eukaryota; Metazoa; Chordata; Aves; Galliformes; Numididae
Gene: ARMH1
Gene name: chromosome 7 C1orf228 homolog
Exons: 13
Source: RefSeq, a predicted model, not a curated record
GCCUCCCACUUCCGUAGCAACGCGCCCUUAGCAACCGCCCUGGGUCGGGCGCCCCGCCAACCGGGCGAGAAAUCCCCCGCCUACUGGUCCGAGAGGAGGCCGCGUCGGGCGAGGAUUGGCCGGGCUGCGGUGUCAGUUAUUCCGCGGAGUGUCCGCCCCUCGGGGGAAGAAGAGAUCAUGACAUCUGUCAAAGAGCAGGAGGCCAUCAGGAAGCUCAUGGUUUUCCUGCAAGAAUGGGACGAUGCUCACAAAGUUGCUCGAAGCCACAUCCUGGACAACUUCAUUAGAAGCAAUAAUGGCAAGACAGAACCAGAGCUGGAGCUGGAGUUCUCCCAGGGAGCCAGCUUGUUUCUGGCCCGCCUGGCAGCAUGGCUGAGGAUGACCUACAUGUACAGCACGUGCAUCAACAAGCUGCUCAAGUCCAUUGGCAUCUUCUUAUCUGCUGCAAGUGGACGCAGAUACAUUAUUGAAUUUCUGGAGAUCGGAGGUGUCUUGAUGCUCCUGGAAAUAGUAGGGCUGAACCACCUGAAAGAAGAGGACAAAAGGGAGUCUGUAAAGCUGCUUCAGCUCAUCGCAAACGCUGGCAGGAAGUACAAGGAGCUCAUUUGUGAAAGCUACGGUGUGCAAUCCCUCGCCGAGCUGCUGGCCACCUGCAGCUCACCAGAGGCUCAGGAGGAGGUGCAGAUCCUGCUGGACUCUCUGGGCCACGGCAACCCCAAGUACCAGAACCAAGUGUACAGCGGCCUGGUGGCAGUGCUGCCGUGCGGCUCUCCCCGCGCCCAGCAGCUGGCCCUGCAGACACUGCGCGGCAUGCAGGACCUGCUGGGAGAGGCCCCUCCGGUGGUAGUGGCACCGCUGCUGGCGGCGCUGGGCUCGGCACACCCCGAAGUGCAGUACGAAGCCACCCGGCUGCUGCAGGUCCUCGUGGCUCGCCGUGCCCGGCCUGCUCUGCUCUCCGGCCUGGUGGCUCUGCUGUCCCCUCCCGGGAGGAAAUCGCGUGCUAAAGACUCAGUGCUGCACCCGAAGGAGCCGACACUAGCCUAUGUUCAGCAGGCAGCUGCUGCUAAAGCUAUCGGCGUAUUAGCCAAGGAGUCAGCAGAAGUGGCUGAAGAGCUGAUCCAGCUGAAAGUGGUGCAUGGCCUGAUGGUUGCGGUGGGGAACCUGGAUUAUGCACUCAGCCAGAGGAAUGCCAGCAUCUCCCUGGAGUACUUUGUCCGCACGUAUCCCUUUGUGGAGGAGCACGUAAGGAAGGCAGUAGGACACACGCUGUUCCAGCUCUUUAAGGACUGCCCUGAGACAUGGUACACAAAAAUAGAUCCAGCCCAGGCUGAAGAACUGGCCUCCAAUCUAGUGGACAGCCCCAAAGACACAGCAAAGAUGCAAUCUGCAGAAGAAACAGAGGGAUCCACCCCCAUCUCAUUUUCCUGGAGGUUGUGCUGACAUUCUGUGAUGACAGACAUCCUAGAGCGGCCACGCACGGCUUUGGAAACAGAAAUUCAAGUUCACAAGACCUACGGAGAGUUCUCCACAUAGGAAAAAGAUAAACAUGCUCUAGUACAGAACAACUUUUGAUGUAUUGAGUUUCUUGGACUACUCCUCUCUCUCAGGUACAAGCGGAUUUGUACUGUUGAUUUCCAAUACUAGUUUCCCUUCUCUUGCAUCAUAUACAACAAGAAGGCCAGCCAAACGCAGCCAUUCACAGUUCAUAUAAAAGCAAAAGUUCUGGCCAGCUAUGACAUUAAGAAAAUUACUAAAUCUGCAGUCAAUCAACAUCAGCAUCACUCAACUAUAUUAUAAAUAAACCUGUAAUGCUGUCACUUGCAACUCAAAAACAAGAACCAAUUAAAAAGGUAGAAAACACAUCAAUUUCCUAACUCCCAGCAGCUCAAGAAACUGUUCCUUAGGAGCCCUGCACUUCUACUUUUUCCUCUUCUGUCUUUGCUCAGAACAUUGUACAGACAAAAUCACUGAGCUAUGACACAGCAGCUAGCAUUCUGGCUGACUCGUCUGAAAUGCCUCCAGGAACAGAGUUCUAGUUACUGCCCAUGGGGACCGUUUGAAGAGGAGAUAGCCACUUGAUGCUGCUAUUUCUUUCUUGCCCUUUCCAUUGUCAUUUUGACACCUUUUUGGCAUAAUAACUGUCACUCAGCUUUUGCUGUUUGCAGCAUUUGGGAAGCUACAUCCAAAUCUUCGAGCCUCGCAGCAGCAGGAACUUUCUAGCAACAUUUAAAGCAAUAUCAAAGAAUAACUACAACAGUGCUGCAGAAAAGGGCAACAUAUAAAAAAAUCCCAGCUCUCAGGAACAGGAGAGCAAUUGGUUGGCAGAGGUUCUGCACUCAGGAGUCUGAAGUGUUGGUAUGAACUGGUGUGCUCUUUUUAGCAUUGCCCGAACGAGCAGCCUUAUGCUGCACUAAACUGGAAUAUUAUGGCCAGAAUGGAAGACCACUGUUUCCCAGGAAUAUAGCAGAACAUGUUUUCUCACC